UGGGGAAUUUUGGACAAUGGGCGCAAGCCUGAUCCAGCAAUGCCGCGUGCAGGAUGAAGGCCUUCGGGUUGUAAACUGCUUUUGUACGGAGCGAAAAGGUCUGCCCUAAUACGGUGGGCUCAUGACGGUACCGUAAGAAUAAGCACCGGCUAACUACGUGCCAGCAGCCGCGGUAAUACGUAGGGUGCGAGCGUUAAUCGGAACUACUGGGCGUAAAGCGUGCGCAGGCGGUUAUAUAAGACAGAGGUGAAAUCCCCGGGCUCAACCUGGGAACUGCCUUUGUGACUGCAUAGCUAGAGUACGGUAGAGGGGGAUGGAAUUCCGCGUGUAGCAGUGAAAUGCGUAGAUAUGCGGAGGAACACCGAUGGCGAAGGCAAUCCCCUGGACCUGUACUGAUGCUCAUGCACGAAAGCGUGGGGAGCAAACA
Molecule: ribosomal RNA, 427 nt
Filed under: uncultured bacterium
Lineage: Bacteria
Description: bacterial SSU rRNA
Rfam family: Bacterial small subunit ribosomal RNA
Source: RNAcentral